GUUUUGAUGGCAGUGAAGUUAGUGAUUGCAAAGCGAUGGGUACAAUCAGCUAACUACACUGCCUACAAACC
Buceros rhinoceros silvestris is the source of this 71-nucleotide non-coding RNA. The record is from Rfam. Lineage: Eukaryota; Metazoa; Chordata; Aves; Bucerotiformes; Bucerotidae.